GCGCGGUGAGGAUAGUGCGGGGGAAAUACUUAUACCCAUUCCGAACAUAAAAGUCAAGCCCCGCACGCCAUCUCAUUCUUAACAGGAAGUUAACGAUAGAGUUGGUUUGCCGC
This 113-nucleotide ribosomal RNA is filed under the name Candidatus Mycoplasma haematohominis. Lineage: Bacteria; Bacillati; Mycoplasmatota; Mollicutes; Mycoplasmatales; Mycoplasmataceae. The record is from RNAcentral.